RNAcentral lists this ribosomal RNA (301 nucleotides) under uncultured bacterium. Its description in RNAcentral is "partial 16S ribosomal RNA". It matches the Rfam family "Bacterial small subunit ribosomal RNA", at positions 509 to 807 of the family's 1533-position model. The record is from RNAcentral.
CAGCAGCCGCGGGAAUACGUAGGGUGCAAGCGUUAAUUGGAAUUACUGGGCGUAAAGCGUGCGCAGGCGGUGUUGUAAGACUGAUGUGAAAUCCCCGGGCUCAACCUGGGAACUGCAUUGGUGACUGCAACGCUGGAGUGCGGCAGAGGGGGAUGGAAUUCCGCGUGUAGCAGUGAAAUGCGUAGAUAUGCGGAGGAACACCGAUGGCGAAGGCAAUCCCCUGGGCCUGCACUGACGCUCAUGCACGAAAGCGUGGGGAGCAAACAGGAUUAGAUACCCCCGUAGUCCCUGUCUCUUAUAC